This 692-nucleotide ribosomal RNA is filed under the name Glaesserella parasuis. RNAcentral describes it as "partial 23S ribosomal RNA". It matches the Rfam family "Bacterial large subunit ribosomal RNA", at positions 2235 to 2925 of the family's 2925-position model. The record is from RNAcentral. Lineage: Bacteria; Pseudomonadati; Pseudomonadota; Gammaproteobacteria; Pasteurellales; Pasteurellaceae.
CGAAACGUGGUCUCGGACAGUGUCUGGUGGGUAGUUUGACUGGGGCGGUCUCCUCCCAAAGCGUAACGGAGGAGCACGAAGGUUUGCUAAUCACGGUCGGACAUCGUGAGGUUAGUGCAAUGGUAUAAGCAAGCUUAACUGCGAGACAGACAAGUCGAGCAGGUGCGAAAGCAGGUCAUAGUGAUCCGGUGGUUCUGAAUGGAAGGGCCAUCGCUCAACGGAUAAAAGGUACUCCGGGGAUAACAGGCUGAUACCGCCCAAGAGUUCAUAUCGACGGCGGUGUUUGGCACCUCGAUGUCGGCUCAUCACAUCCUGGGGCUGAAGUAGGUCCCAAGGGUAUGGCUGUUCGCCAUUUAAAGUGGUACGCGAGCUGGGUUUAGAACGUCGUGAGACAGUUCGGUCCCUAUCUGCCGUGGGCGUUGGAGAAUUGAGAGGGGCUGCUCCUAGUACGAGAGGACCGGAGUGGACGCAUCACUGGUGUACCAGUUGUCUCGCCAGAGGCAUUGCUGGGUAGCUAAAUGCGGAAGAGAUAAGUGCUGAAAGCAUCUAAGCACGAAACUCGCCUUAAGAUGAGUUCUCCCUAGCUAUAAGCUAGUAAGGGUUGUUGAAGACUACGACGUAGAUAGGUCUGGUGUGUAAGCGGUGUGAGCCGUUGAGCUAACAGAUACUAAUUGCCCGAGAGGCUUAACUAU